Molecule: ribosomal RNA, 460 nt
Filed under: uncultured bacterium
Lineage: Bacteria
Description: bacterial SSU rRNA
Rfam family: Bacterial small subunit ribosomal RNA
Source: RNAcentral
GACUAACGCUGGCGGCGUGCCUAACACAUGCAAGUCGAACGGGGCCCUGGUUCGCCAGGGUCUAGUGGCAGACGGGUGAGUAACACGUAGGUAAUGUACCCUCUUGCUGGGGAUACCCGUCCGAAAGGAUGGUUAAUACCGAAUGAGCCACGACCGGGGCAUCCUGGUGGUGGCAAACUGGCAACGGGCGAGAGGAUCAGCCUGCGGACCAUCAGCUGGUUGGUGGGGUAACGGCCUACCAAGGCGACGACGGUUAGCCGGUUUGAGAGGACGAUCGGCCACACUGGGACUGAAACACGGCCCAGACUCCUACGGGAGGCAGCAGUGAGGAAUAUUGCGCAAUGGGCGAAAGCCUGACGCAGCGACGCCGCGUGAGGGAUGAAGGCCUUCGGGUCGUAAACCUCUGUCAGUGGGAGAGAACGGACGGUACCCACUGAGGAAGCGAUCGGCUUACUACGUG